RNAcentral lists this ribosomal RNA (475 nucleotides) under uncultured bacterium. RNAcentral's name for it is "partial 16S ribosomal RNA". It matches the Rfam family "Bacterial small subunit ribosomal RNA", at positions 355 to 821 of the family's 1533-position model. The record is from RNAcentral.
UAGGGAAUCUUCCACAAUGGACGCAAGUCUGAUGGAGCAACGCCGCGUGAGUGAAGAAGGCUUUCGGGUCGUAAAACUCUGUUGUUGGAGAAGAAUGGUCGGCGGAGUAACUGUUGUCGGCGUGACGGUAUCCAACCAGAAAGCCACGGCUAACUACGUGCCAGCAGCCGCGGUAAUACGUAGGUGGCAAGCGUUAUCCGGAUUUAUUGGGCGUAAAGCGAGCGCAGGCGGUUUUUUAAGUCUGAUGUGAAAGCCCUCGGCUUAACCGAGGAAGUGCAUCGGAAACUGGGAAACUUGAGUGCAGAAGAGGACAGUGGAACUCCAUGUGUAGCGGUGAAAUGCGUAGAUAUAUGGAAGAACACCAGUGGCGAAGGCGGCUGUCUGGUCUGUAACUGACGCUGAGGCUCGAAAGCAUGGGUAGCGAACAGGAUUAGGAUACCCUGGUAGUCCAUGCCGUAAACGAUGAAUGCUAGGU